AUCCCGUGAACCAUCAAGUUUUUGAAAUCAAGUUGAGUUUGAAGCCUUCCGACCGAGGGCACGCCUGCCUGGGCAUCACGCAUUGGGUUGUCCCCCCUCCCGCUCUUCCGUAGCGGGAGGGCCGGGGGAGGAGAGAGUCCUCCCGUGCGCCCCCAUCGCGCGGCUGGCCC
RNAcentral lists this ribosomal RNA (170 nucleotides) under Jadunia biroi. RNAcentral describes it as "5.8S ribosomal RNA". The record is from RNAcentral. Lineage: Eukaryota; Viridiplantae; Streptophyta; Magnoliopsida; Lamiales; Acanthaceae.